GUGGGGAAUAUUGGACAAUGGGCGAAAGCCUGAUCCAGCAAUGCCGCGUGAGUGAUGAAGGCCUUAGGGUUGUAAAGCUCUUUUACCAGGGAUGAUAAUGACAGUACCUGGAGAAUAAGCUCCGGCUAACUCCGUGCCAGCAGCCGCGGUAAUACGGAGGGAGCUAGCGUUGUUCGGAAUUACUGGGCGUAAAGCGCACGUAGGCGGUUACUGAAGUCAGAGGUGAAAGCCCGGGGCUCAACCCCGGAACUGCCUUUGAAACUAGGUAACUAGAAUCUUGGAGAGGUCAGUGGAAUUCCGAGUGUAGAGGUGAAAUUCGUAGAUAUUCGGAAGAACACCAGUGGCGAAGGCGACUGACUGGACAAGUAUUGACGCUGAGGUGCGAAAGCGUGGGGAGCAAACAGGAUUAGAUACCCGGGUAGUCC
Molecule: ribosomal RNA, 425 nt
Filed under: uncultured bacterium
Lineage: Bacteria
Description: partial 16S ribosomal RNA
Rfam family: Bacterial small subunit ribosomal RNA
Source: RNAcentral